RNAcentral lists this ribosomal RNA (253 nucleotides) under uncultured bacterium. Its description in RNAcentral is "partial 16S ribosomal RNA". It matches the Rfam family "Bacterial small subunit ribosomal RNA", at positions 524 to 776 of the family's 1533-position model. The record is from RNAcentral.
UACGUAGGGUGCAAGCGUUGUCCGGAAUUAUUGGGCGUAAAGAGCUCGUAGGCGGUCUGUCGCGUCGGCUGUGAAAACCCGGGGCUCAACCCCGGGCCUGCAGUCGAUACGGGCAGACUAGAGUGCGGUAGGGGAGACUGGAAUUCCUGGUGUAGCGGUGAAAUGCGCAGAUAUCAGGAGGAACACCGGUGGCGAAGGCGGUUCUCUGGGCCUGUACUGACGCUGAGGCGCGACAGCGUGGGGAGCAAACAGG